GGUGAGUGGUGUAGUGUUGCUAGGCAGAGUGUGGUAAGGUGCGGCUGGGUUUGAUUUCCCUACCACAGCACUGCAGAGGUGGGAAAGGAGGAGGGGGAUUGAGUCACACCCGGAUUCACAACCUUAAAAUUUCCAGGAGUCGAAGUUUGAGUCAAAAUUUCCGAAACGUAUCCGCCUCCACACCCCUCGUUAACCCGGUAGCUGCGGGGAUCAUGUUUCUUAUUGGUCCCUCUAAGCGAGAAAAAUGAGAAAAAAUCAUUACUCACACAAACCAUUUCAUAAUAUAUAUCAAAACAUUUGUGAUCAGUUUAUGUAUCAUCUAUUUUGGGGGGUUUAUAUCAUGGCACAAAUUUGGCCCGUCGCUGCUACACGGUAAAGCCACAAAUUUGGCCCGUUGCUGCUACCGGGUUCAUUCAUAGCUCCAGCUUUCUCAGUACUUCCCUUCGCUGGUAAUGCGCUAACGCCUUGAUCCCUCUAAGCCGCUAGUUCCCAAUGCUUCGCCGUAACCAUUUUCAAUAAGCUUAUCAGACGUCGUUAUCUGAUAAGCUUGAAAAAUCUGUUAGUACUCGGUGAUGAUAUUUUUUAUCCCACAUUCUAGUAAUCAGUUUUAUUUAUCUUGACUCACAUAUCUCUUAAUACCCAAUCACUGCGACAGUUUUUAUUAGUUAUCUCAUCGGUCUUUUUAUUUUUCAUUAUGGCAGUUUUCAGUAUAAGGUCGUAAUCAGUCUAAUUUAUCUUGAGUCCUAUAUCUCUUAAUACCUGAUCACUGCGACAGUUUUUAUUAGCUAUCUCAUCGGUCUUUUUAUUUUUCAUUAUGGCAGUUUUCAGUAUAAGGUCGUAAUCAGUCUAAUUUAUCUUGAGUCCUAUAUCUCUUAAUACCCAAUCAUUGCGACAGUUUUUAUUAUCAAUCUCAUCAGCCUUUUUUUUCUUUAAGUAUUCGGUAUUUCAUCAUGACAAUCUUCAGUAUAAAGUCGUAAUCAAUCUAAUUUAUCUUGAGUCCUAUAUCUCUUAAUACCCGAUCACUGCUACAGUUUUUAUGAUCAACCUCAACAGACUAACCUUCCAUAGCUUUUCCCUAUCUUUUAGUACUCAGUGUCUCAUUACAACAAUUUUCAAUAUCAAAUUCUAUUCACUAUUUUUUUUUUGUAUGGACGUAGUAUUUCGAUGAUAAACACAUUGAAGUGGCUUGAAACGAAGGGAUGAAAAAAAGUCACCCAUGAUUAAAAAGACAGGUGGAGGUGACAGGUGGGGCAGAGAGCAGAUAUCUUUUUGUGUGUAACGAUUUGACACUAAAGACUGAAGUGAAGUUAAACAAAGGGAUGAAAAACAAGUCACUAUUGAUUAAGAAGACAGGUAGAGGUGACAGGUGCGGCAGAGAGCUAUAUCAAGGGAGAAGCAGAUAUCUUUUUGUGUAUAACUUUUCGAUACUAAAGAUAGUGAAGUGAACAAAUGAAGGAGUAAAAAGUGUCUCCCAUGAUUACGACAACAGGUGGAGAUGGAAGGUGGGGCAGAGAGCUAUAUCAAGGGAGAAGCAGAUAUCUUUUUGUGUAUAACUUUUCGAUACUAAAGACAAUGAACUGAACAGAGGAAGGAAUUAAAACUAAGUCACCCAUGAUUACGAAGAAGGGAGAAGGUGGAAGGUGAGGCAGGGAACGUAACGUAAUCAAAGGAGAAGCAGAUAUCUUUUUCUAUGUAACAUUUCGACACUAAGGACAAUGAGGUAAACAAAGGAAGGAAUAAAAAGUAAGUCACCCAUGAUUACGGAAACAGGUGGAGGUGGAAAGUGGGGCAGGGCACUUUUAUCAAUGAAGAAAGAGAUAUCGCCCGAGAUUAUAGAGAAUAAGGUCUGGUAUGUAAUCUUGUUUUUUACAGGAACUGAUAAACGGAGAUUACGAUCGGAGUGAGCGAGGCCUGCGUGAGAGAUUUGCAAGUGCGUCACUGUGAGACAAAAUUGGAUACGUGUAGUGAGACGUAUUUCGUGUAUUAGUAAUCUGUUGUUGGAUAAUGAUGAACUAACCAGACGAGAAAAUCAAUACCAAAGAUAAUGAUGAUAGUAAUAAUUUAGUAACUGGUCCGACCUGAAAACUAAAUUCUCGAUCAUGAAAUUUGGCUGAGGUUAGUGAAGACUCUUAUUACGAGCCAUGAUAUAGGAGCCACAUAGCAUGAAAACCUCUCCUACUCACUACAAUACUUCUGGACUGUAAUGAAGCUUGAGUUACAGCCAUGAAAGGAAUAUAUAGAUUAAAGGAGAAAGAGAGUACUGAUGAAAACUAUUACCAGGAGCCAUGACCUAGGAGUAACACAGCAGAAAAACCUCUCCUGUACUGCGAUGAAGCUUGAGUUAUAGCCAUGAAAAGAACAUAUAUAUAGCAAAGGAGAAAGGGAAUACUGAUGAAAACUAAAGAAUGGCUCACACAGGGUACUCAUUCAUUCAGCUAAAACAACUCAGCGAUUGAACGACACACUGCGAGCAUUGGGUAACACUAAGCAGUCUCUCUUACUGGUGACAUGACAAGCUUCUAAGUGUACCAAACCUAAGACUGGCUCACAAAGGGUACUCAAUCAUUCAGCUAAAACGACUCAAUGAUUGAAUGCCAAACUGUGAGACUUGGUGAGCACUAAACAGCCUCUCUUACUGGUGACAUGACAAGCUUCUAAGUGUACCAAACCUAAGGACUGGCUCACAAAGGAUACUCAUUCAUUCAGCUAAAACAACUCAGCGAUUGAACGACACACUACGAGCAUUGGGGAACAUUAAACAGUCUCUCUUACUGGUGACAUGACAAGCUUCUAAGUGUACCAAACCUAAGACUGGCUCACAAAGGGUACUCAGUCAUUCAGCUAAAACAACUCAGUGAUUGAACGACACACUACAAGCAUUGGGGAACAUUAAACAGCCUCUCUAACUGAUGCCGUGAUAAGAUAGGCUAUCACUAAACGACUCUGUACCAGGCGCCAACGCUGAAAACUCUGGCUCACUGACUCACUUCACACCAUGUCUUGCUUGUAGCGUUCCCAGGCACCAAUAAUGAGAGGGAGGCUGUGAUGGGGGUUGAAUAAAAAAUGUUGGACCUCCUCAAACAGACAAUUGCCACGCACUCACUCGGAACGGACAUAAGACCUCCACUUCCAGUCACUUCCAUACUUUUAACCCUUCAAUGGCAGUGGAACUAUAUAUAGACGGUCCAAAAUUCAGUCAGUUUUGUAUGGCAGAAAUUUAACAACACUUCCAGAUUGCAUUAGAAUCUAUAUACAUCAAGAAUCUAUAUGUAUCAAGACACCUCUCCUCCCGAAAUUGACCCCUCUUUCGGCCACCUCUUUGGAUUCUUUGUAGGAGCAGCGAGUAGCGGGCUUUUUUCUUAUUAUUGUUUCCUUUUUUUGUGCCCUUGAGCUGUCUCCUUUGUUGUAAAAAAAAAAAAAAGAGAGAGAGAGAGAGAGAGACAACAGUUAAAACAUCUCUUAUGCGGCGUAUCUAUAUUUAUGCUACGGUCCUAAGGUUGGCAGUGACGAUAGAUGAUUCAUUUUUGGGGAGUUGCUCUUCAAAUACUGCCGCCGUCCGAGGGUUAAUAGACUGUUUAAUGAGGACCACCGUCUAUGAUUUGACCACCAUCACGAGGCACUAUGAUCCAGUGUGUGCAUGUGAUUUAUGAUUUGCACUCUCCCCAUUUGUCUUGUGAAUCAGUAUCAAAAAAGCCAACCAUGUAGCCUACUUAAGAAUAUAUUGACGAGUAGUUCUAAUCAGUAGGCCUAUGUUCUUUGAGUGUAUGUAUUGAUAGUAAGUACCAAAGUUAGGGUCGCUUUCACAGUCACUUUGUUUGUUUUGAUCGUACCCGACGGCGGCGAUCGACGUAAUAGUUUUCCACGUGAAACUGGCCGAUAGGGUAGUGGCGGCUGCAGAGGAAGCGAGAGGCAUUGAGAGUGUGUGCCAAGGUGAGGGGCUAGGCUAACCCCUCACCCGCCACUACCCCAUCGGCCAGUUUUAAGUGGAAAUACUACAGCGGCGAUAACAGCCAUUGGUAACGAUCACAACAAACGAAACGACCGUGAAAGCGGCCCCUAGUCUCUAGUAACAUUAUUAAGUUCUGCAAGCCAUCAUUUUCAGCUUAAUCUGUAAUUCCUUGCUGUUGAUUAGUUCAAAUUAUGUUCCUUGAGUGCAUAUUUUGAUAGCAAAUACCAAAGUUAGUAUGGAAUGACAUUUUAAGAUUCUGCAAGUCAGCAUUUUCAGCCUAAUCUAAUUUUUGCUUCCCAUUCAUGAGUCCCCCACCAUUCUGAGUAUAUUUUGAUAGCAAGUACAAAAGUUAGUAUCGAAUAACAUUAUAAGAUUCUGCAAGUCAUAAUUUUCAGCCUAAUCUAAUUUUUGCUUCCCAUUCAUGAUCCCCCACCAUUCUGAUCCUCACCACCACCACCACCGCCACCCUUAGUAAGAGCUACACACCUGCUUCAUUGGCUUGUCAUGUUUAGAAUAAGUGCCUCAGAGCUUCAGCCUUCUUGCUAAAUCUAAUGCAUUGCUUUUAUAUACAAUUUCUCAUCUUAUGCUUAGCUGGGGGGGUUUCUAAAGCUUGGGGCGGGGCAACGUUCCCUGGCCAGUCUUUCGGUACACUAAUCUUUUUCCUUGCCUCUGGGCUUACCAACGC
Eriocheir sinensis (Chinese mitten crab) is the source of this 4634-nucleotide long non-coding RNA. RefSeq lists it as uncharacterized. The record is from RefSeq and is a predicted model, not a curated record. Lineage: Eukaryota; Metazoa; Arthropoda; Malacostraca; Decapoda; Varunidae. The transcript has 3 exons.